UAUUUAAAUUUUUUCAUCUGAACUCAAGUAAUAUUUUCACAGGUACAUGGACAAGAUCUGUCUUUCUGUGGCUCUCAGGAAGGCAAAACCCCCAGGAUCAGCUCCAGAGCACGCAGGGAAAACACAAAACAAUGUUAGCCAGCUGAAGCAGAAAACCAAGGAACCCCAUGUAACAGAGGGCAAAUAAAACAGUUCAGUCCACACAAGGAGCUCCUGGUACAACCAGGGAGUGUCUUAUGGCUGGACUGGCGUGCUCAAGGGACACUUCACCACUCAGCUGGUCCCAUCAAGGUUCAUCAGGAGCUUCUGAGAUCACAGAGCUGGCCCAAGGAUGAGGAGGAUGGCAGAAGCAGCACCACAACAAUCCAGAAGCACGUCACUGAAGUGGACAAAAAGUAGGAAGAAAUUCAUCCUGGCAAGCAACAAGUUGUCAAGUCAUGAGCUGUGGCUCCAGGGAUUCAGACUGGAUAUUGGGAAGAAAGCCAGACAGGACACAAAAGAGAAGAAAAGGUUACUGAGGUCACACCUGGCUACAGAAAUGCUGUUAGAGAGAGAAGCAAGUGAAAGACAACUUGCUGUGUGUACAGAAGCAUAGAAGGAUGUCCUCAUGGCUUAAUUAAAAUUAAUUAGCUAAGAUUAAUUAGAAAUAUUACACCACUAAGAUUAAGAAUAAAAUUAAGAAGACAAAUUCUCA
Long non-coding RNA from Cyanistes caeruleus (blue tit), 694 nucleotides. Lineage: Eukaryota; Metazoa; Chordata; Aves; Passeriformes; Paridae. The record is from Ensembl.